GACGAACGCUGGCGGCGUGCUUAACACAUGCAAGUCGAGCGGAGCGGCGAACGGGUGAGUAACGCGUGAGUAACUGACACCCUAUCUGGGAUAACAGUUGGAAAAGGCUGCUAAUACCGGAUAGUGGGGGAUGACUCGCGUCCUAUCCGCUUGUUGGUGGGGUAGUGGCCUACCAAGGCGACGACGGGCAGCCGGCCUGAGAGGGCGACCGGCCACAUUGGGAUUCGAUACGGCCCAAACUCCUACGGGAGGCAGCAGUGGGGAAUAUUGCACAAUGGGGGAAACCCUGAUGCAGAAACGCCGCGUGCGGGAUGACGGCCUUCUGGUUGUAAACCGCUUUCAUCCAUGACGCGGUAGUGGCAGAAGAAGCACCGGCUAACUACGUGCCAGCAGCCGCGGUAAUUC
This 405-nucleotide ribosomal RNA is filed under the name uncultured bacterium. RNAcentral describes it as "partial 16S ribosomal RNA". It matches the Rfam family "Bacterial small subunit ribosomal RNA", at positions 28 to 526 of the family's 1533-position model. The record is from RNAcentral.